AAGUACGCGCUUUUUCUUGCUCUGGUAAUAAUCCUAGAUAUUAUCGUAGAUAGAUAGUUGUCUUACUUUGUGGUAGAUACGCGAUCUCUACCAUGAAUUUUGCAGCACGAAUUGCAAUUCUUUGUAAUGUAUGACACAGCUUUACAAACCUCAAAACUUUUACCAAGACCUUUGUUUUUAUCUUUCUUAAUAUUUUAAUUUGCUUUUGACAGAUGUUAUUCAAACACCUGAUGUAAGUUUACCUAACUGAAGUUCUUCUAUUUUUCUUUUAGGGGUGCUAGAACUGGACAGUGGGAGAAAUAUUGUAAGCUGUGAGACUGCAGUGUCACCAUGCUUUCAUGGAAAGCCACUUAAUUUUAUGUAUGGACAGGUUUCUGAAGUAGGCUGCUCCUAUGCCAGAGCAGACCAGUGUAAUCAAACAAGUCCUUCUUUGGAGAGUGAGGAUCUCUUCUACUACUCAAUGAUUGCACUGAGGUUAAGAAAUCAACAGAGAUUGGGCACUCAGGGAAAUAGAAGACUUAAAAGACUGACCCAAAUGGGUAUUUCUUUGCCUUCAUAACUUUUGCUCAGAAAAUCCAAGU
Pezoporus occidentalis (night parrot) is the source of this 581-nucleotide long non-coding RNA. RefSeq lists it as uncharacterized. The transcript has 3 exons. NCBI's taxonomy places the organism in Eukaryota, Metazoa, Chordata, Aves, Psittaciformes, Psittacidae. The record is from RefSeq and is a predicted model, not a curated record.